CACAAGUGAUUAAUCGGUCUGACAAGUUAACAUGAUGAAUAGGUAUUAUUCGAUUCAGCCACCCAACGAGUAGCGAUUAACUGGCAAGUUAACUAAUUAAUCGGGCGAAUUCUUGAACAGUGCUUUUCGCUGCUAUGCUCUUAGAUGUGCAUGUGUAGGAUGAACUUGACUAGUCAUAAUUGCUAAAACUGGUCCACAACUAAAUUUGGAAAAAGGCUAAGUUCUACGUAGUCUAAUCACUCCUUCCCUCUUAACAUACUUUCGAUCCUACAAGGAGGGAAGGGUUUCUCCCUGUACGGUCGGAGAAGGGAGGCGCGGCAGUGGCGGGGCGGUUCGGGGGCGGGAGGAAUGCCCGAAAACGCGGACCCCGGGCCUCCCCGCCGUCUAGCACGCUCACCAAGCCCUGCACGCCACCCGCCAUCGUCGGGAGAGGAGCCUCGAGGUCGUCGGUCCGAUGUCAGGAUGUCGCCGCGCGCCCGACAUCAGCUCUGCGCACCACCCCCCAAGAGCGAGCUUGGGCCCCGCGCCCCCGGCAGCCGGCACGAAGGCCAGCACCGGGGUUUAACAGGGAAGGUGUGGGCAAGCGACGAGGCGGGGACGGAGACGUGUGCAUGGACGGGGAGCGGCACGCCGCAGGGUAAUCCAGCGGCUCCCCGGAGAUCGCAGCAGCCAGCACCCAGCAGGUCCCCGAAGCGAUAAGGGAGGCCAGCCACCCGCGCAGCUGCGACGGCGAGCUCCUCCUCGACCGCCAGGUCCGUCCAGGAGGGGGCGUCCGUCGUCGGUGCAUCGCAUCCGCGGGGAGGGGGUGCACCUGGGGCCAUCGGGGUCANNN
This 832-nucleotide long non-coding RNA is filed under the name Hordeum vulgare. Its description in RNAcentral is "long non-coding RNA (HVUL_LNC020859)". The record is from RNAcentral. Lineage: Eukaryota; Viridiplantae; Streptophyta; Magnoliopsida; Poales; Poaceae.